Molecule: long non-coding RNA, 1220 nt
Filed under: Lepisosteus oculatus (spotted gar)
Lineage: Eukaryota; Metazoa; Chordata; Actinopteri; Semionotiformes; Lepisosteidae
Description: lncRNA (ENSLOCG00000021389.1)
Source: RNAcentral
AUUUAAUGCUCACAGUAGCUGUGUUGUAAGUUAUGGCAGGAUACAGUUUGUUUAAUACCCCUCCCCUCACACGCCUAUCAGUCGCGCUCGUCCAGUCAGCACAUUGCUAGAAACUAUCUUUGCAAACUUUCGGAUUGUGAACUGCCACACCCCCGCGACAAGUAUAAAAGGAACCCAGAACUCCCCCGUCUGUAUUGAUGAAAAGACGGGCGAUGAAAAGGAGGAAACCGUCAAAAAAGGUAGAAGAGCUUCAACGAGAAAGGAAGGGUCCCCGGAAGAAAGGGAAACUUGGUCCUCAGGGGCCCACAGCAGGUGCUGUUGGAGCCCCUGAGGACCAGGUCAAAGAAAACCUCAUCUGUCCAGAGCGCGCCUGUGUCAUCUCCCCAGAGGAAGAAGCAGAGACCAGAGACGGGUCCAGCACACCGAGUAUAUCCCAGGUGACAAAGCAGGAAGGCGAACAUCAGGAAGAAGAAGAAGAUAUUUCAGAACUAAAGGCUGGGGAGAUACACAGAUGGCCUUGUCUUAUUUUACCUACCCGUUAUAAAAAAAAUAAUUUCUUUUUAACUCCUAAUCCAAGUGAAUCUCUACAUUUGUAUUUGGGAGAAAAAUAUAUUAAUGUUAUUGAGCCAAAUUCAAAUAAAAUAGUUGAAUUUAUAUUAUGUUAUAAUUGGAAUAGCACUCAUUUGGAAUCAGCAAAACUAUUCCAGAAAGACCUGACCUCAGUAUUCCGAUCUGAAGCCAAUAUUCCUUCAGAAACAGUAGACAUAGCCGAGUAUGAAGAUGUAGAUGUAUAUGAAUAUAAAACUCGAAACAAAAUAAAGAUUAAAGCAUUAAACUUUGUUAAUGAGGCCAGUUAUACAUUAAUUUUAAAAAUGUUAAUUUCCAAAAAGGACAAAAAAGAUAUUUAUUUUAGGGUUAAAGAUUUUGUAAUGCGACUGAACCCUGAAAAUCUCUAUAUAGAACCAUGGGGUACAACAGAUGAAGGAAAAACCUGGCACUGGAAAUACAAAGACCUAAUUUAUGAUAGUCGUAAAAUUGCUUCUGGUAGAAACUUUAGUCAAGCCUUGAACGUGCUGGUCAGGGGGGAUUUCGAUAAAAGACAGGAUAGCUUUAGUAAUGUCAAUAUUCAUGAGGUUGUGGCUAUGCUUGCGGUCUUGAUUUCCGAAGCAAUUCGAAACCCCAGCACUUAUUACAUCAACUUGAUCAUGAUGAGAUGGAAU